GGACGGUGCCGAGACAUGGUGGCUGUGGUGGACGGUGCCGAGACAUGGUGGCUGUGGUGAACGGUGCUGCUAAGACAUGGUGGCUGUGGUGGACGGUGCUGCUGAGACAUGGUGGCUGUGGUGAACGGUGCCGAGACAUGGUGGCUGUGGUGGACGGUGCCGAGACAUGGUGGCUGUGGUGAACGGUGCUGAGACAUGGUGGCUGUGGUGAACGGUGCUGCCGAGACAUGGUGGCUGUGGUGGACGGUGCUGAGACACGGUGGCUGUGGUGAACGGUGCUGCCGAGACAUGGUGGCUGUGGUGGACGGUGCUGCUGAGACAUGGUGGCUGUGGUGGAUGGUGCCGAGACAUGGUGGCUGUGGUGAACGGUGCUGCUGAGACAUGGUGGCUAUGGUGAACGGUGCUGAGACAUGGUGGCUGUGGUGGACGGUGCUGCUGAGACAUGGUGGCUGUGGUGAACGGUGCUGAGACAUGGG
This 476-nucleotide long non-coding RNA is filed under the name Pan troglodytes (chimpanzee). RNAcentral describes it as "long non-coding RNA NONPTRT000784". The record is from RNAcentral. Lineage: Eukaryota; Metazoa; Chordata; Mammalia; Primates; Hominidae.